Molecule: ribosomal RNA, 484 nt
Filed under: uncultured bacterium
Lineage: Bacteria
Description: partial 16S ribosomal RNA
Rfam family: Bacterial small subunit ribosomal RNA
Source: RNAcentral
AUUGAACGCUGGCGGCAUGCUUUACACAUGCAAGUCGAACGGCAGCGCGGGCUUCGGCCUGGCGGCGAGUGGCGAACGGGUGAGUAAUGCAUCGGAACGUGCCCAGUAGUGGGGGAUAGCCCGGCGAAAGCCGGAUUAAUACCGCAUACGACCUGAGGGUGAAAGCGGGGGACCGAAAGGCCUCGCGCUAUUGGAGCGGCCGAUGUCGGAUUAGCUAGUUGGUGGGGUAAAGGCUUACCAAGGCGACGAUCCGUAGCUGGUCUGAGAGGACGACCAGCCACAGUGGGGCGGAGAGGAGGUCCAGGGUCCGACGGGAGCGAGCAGUGGGGAAUAGGGGACAAUGGGGGCAAGACUGAGCAAGCCGUACCGCGUGGGUGAAGAAUGCCUUCGGGUAGUAAGGCGGGGUGGUGGGGAAAGAAAAGCAGCAGGCUAAGACUCCGCGGGUGUGACGGUCCGCAAAGAAUAAGCACCGGCUAACUUCGGG